GAGUUUGAUCUUGGCUCAGAUUGAACGCUGGCGGCAUGCCUUACACAUGCAAGUCGAACGACGCUAGGGGCAACUCUAGCGAGUGGCGAACGGGUGAGUAAUACAUCGGAACGUGUCCUGUCGUGGGGGAUAACCAGUCGAAAGACUGGCUAAUACCGCAUGACCUCGCAAGAGAAAAGCGGAGGACCGCAAGGCUUCGCGCGAUUGGAGCGGCCGAUGUCGGAUUAGCUAGUUGGCGGGGUAAUGGCCCACCAAGGCGACGAUCCGUAGCUGGUUUGAGAGAACGACCAGCCACACUGGGACUGAGACACGGCCCAGACUCCUACGGGAGGCAGCAGUGGGGAAUUUUGGACAAUGGGGGCAACCCUGAUCCAGCCAUGCCGCGUGUGUGAAGAAGGCCUUCGGUUGUAAGCAC
This 415-nucleotide ribosomal RNA is filed under the name uncultured beta proteobacterium. RNAcentral describes it as "bacterial SSU rRNA". It matches the Rfam family "Bacterial small subunit ribosomal RNA", at positions 9 to 433 of the family's 1533-position model. The record is from RNAcentral. Lineage: Bacteria; Pseudomonadati; Pseudomonadota; Betaproteobacteria.